GACGAACGCUGGCGGCGUGCUUAACACAUGCAAGUCGAGCGGACGGAGAACUUCGGUUCAAAGUUAGCGGCGGACGGGUGAGUAACGCGUGAACAAUCUGUCCCAGACAGGGGGAUAACAAUCUGAAAAGGUUGCUGAUACCGCAUAAGACCACGUUCUCGCAUGGGAAUGGGGUAAAAGAUUUAUCGGUUUGGGGUGAGUUCGCGUCUGAUUAGCUAGUUGGUGAGGUUAAACGGCCCACCAAGGCGACGAUCAGUAGCCGAUCUGAGAGGAUGACCGGCCACAUUGGAACUGAGACACGGUCCAAACUCCUACGGGAGGCAGCAGUGGGGAAUAUUGGGCAAUGGGCGAAAGCCUGACCCAGCAACGCCGCGUGAGGGAAGAAGGUUUUCGGAUUGUAAACCUCUGUCCUAAGGGAAGAAGGAAGUGACGGUACCUUAGGAGGAAGCCCCGGCUAACUACGUG
Molecule: ribosomal RNA, 465 nt
Filed under: uncultured bacterium
Lineage: Bacteria
Description: bacterial SSU rRNA
Rfam family: Bacterial small subunit ribosomal RNA
Source: RNAcentral